This is a long non-coding RNA of Aplysia californica (California sea hare), 593 nucleotides long. RefSeq lists it as uncharacterized. The record is from RefSeq and is a predicted model, not a curated record. NCBI's taxonomy places the organism in Eukaryota, Metazoa, Mollusca, Gastropoda, Aplysiida, Aplysiidae. The transcript has 2 exons.
UUGAUGAUGCUCGUGGUGGUGAUAUUGGUGCUUGCCGGCGCUACACGACUGGAGAGACAGUGAGAGGAGCAUCAGCGCCAGCAGCAUGUUACACACACGACGCGCACAACUCGACAUAGUGACCGGCUGGUGGCUUGCUGGGAGUGGAAACUUUGGACCUGCAAUUUCAAGGGAGAGUCAUAUCCUGCGCAGACCCAACCACAAGUCGUCACUAUGUCGAGUUCCGGAAGUCGUGUGUGUAACAUGCUGCUGGCGCUGAUGCUCCUAUCGGUUUGUCUCCAGUCCUGUCAAGCCGGAAAGCACAACUACCACAAACACGAGCACCACGUCAAGGCCCACCACAGCCACAGCCACAGCCACAGCCACAAACACAAACAUGAGCACCAUCACUAUCAGCACGACAGCGGCAGCAGCAGCAGUAGCAGCGGUAGUCUGGACUCUCUACUUCUUCUGUUUCCUCUUCUUAUGGGGGCACAAGGAUAGCUUAACUGUCACCUUCUGAGUCGGAGAAGACGAUUCAUUGGGCAAUUGACUUAACGAAUCGUGGGAGCAACUUGGUUGUCUUUAAUUAAGAAAAGAUAAUAAAUGAUGCA